AGAGUUUGAUCCUGGCUCAGAAUGAACGCUGGCGGCAUGGAUUAGGCAUGCAAGUCGAACGGUGAAGCCUAGCUUGCUAGGUGGAUCAGUGGCGAAAGGGUGAGUAACACGUGAGUAAUCUGCCCUGAAGUUUGGGAUAGCCCUGGGAAACUGGGAUUAAUACCAAAUGUGGCGGUCUUCACAUAUGUGAGGAUUGGCCGAAGGCUUCGGUCGCUUCAGGAUGGGCUCGCGUCCCAUCAGCUAGUUGGUGAGGUAAUGGCUCACCAAGGCAAUGACGGGUAGGUGGUCUGAGAGGAUGGUCACCCACACUGGGACUGAGACACUGCCCAGACUCCUACGGGAGGCUGCAGUCGAGAAUCUUCCGCAAUGCGCGAAAGCGUGACGGAGCAAUGCCGCGUGAAGGAUGAAGGCCCUCGGGUCGUAAACUUCUGUCACUCGGGAUGAAUUUUGACAGUACCGAGAGAGGAAGCCACGGCUAACUACGUGCCAGCAGCCGCGGUAAUACGUAGGUGGCGAGCGUUAUUCGGAUUUAUUGGGCGUAAAGGGUUCGUAGGGGGUUGGCUAAGUCGGACGUGAAAGCCUGCGGCUCAACCGCAGAAAGCCGUUCGAUACUGGUUGACUAGAGGAUCGGAGAGGUAGGUGGAAUUCCUGGUGUAGCGGUGGAAUGCAUAGAUAUCAGGAGGAACACCGACGGCGAAGGCAGCCUACUGGACGAUACCUGACCCUGAGGAACGAAAGCCGGGGGAGCAAACAGGAUUAGAUACCCUGGUAGUCCCGGCCGUAAACGUUGUAGACUCGGUGUAGGAGGAGUUAGUCCCUUCUGUGCCUAAGCUAACGCGAUAAGUCUACCGCCUGGGGAGUACGGCGGCAACGCUAAAACUCAAAGGAAUUGACGGGGGCCCGCACAAGCGGUGGAGCAUGUGGCUUAAUUCGAGGCAACGCGAAGAACCUUACCUGGGUUUGACAUAUAUCUGACCGCCAUGGAAACAUGGUUUCUCUUCGGAGCGGAUAUACAGGUGCUGCAUGGCUGUCGUCAGCUCGUGCCGUGAGGUGUUCGGUUAAGUCCGGCAACGAGCGCAACCCGUGUGUCCAGUUACCAGCACGUUAUGGUGGGGACUCUGGACAGACUGCCCGUGUCAAGCGGGAGGAAGGCGCGGACGACGUCAAGUCAGUAUGGCCCUUACAUCCAGGGCUGCACACGUGCUACAAUGGCAGGUAUAAUGGGCAGCAACAUCGUGAGAUGGAGCAAAUCCUUAAACCCUGCCCCAGUUCGGAUUGUAGUCUGCAACUCGACUACAUGAAGUCGGAAUCGCUAGUAAAGGCGUAUCAGCAUUGACGCCUUGAAUACGUUCCCGGGCCUUGUACACACCGCCCGUCACAUCAUGGAAGCUGGAUGAACCCGAAGUCGUUGACCCAACCGCAAGGAGGGAGGCGCCGAAGGUGUGUCUAGUGACUGGGAUGAAGUCGUAACAAGGUAACCGUA
This 1483-nucleotide ribosomal RNA is filed under the name uncultured bacterium. RNAcentral's name for it is "bacterial SSU rRNA". It matches the Rfam family "Bacterial small subunit ribosomal RNA". The record is from RNAcentral.